This 353-nucleotide ribosomal RNA is filed under the name uncultured bacterium. RNAcentral describes it as "bacterial SSU rRNA". It matches the Rfam family "Bacterial small subunit ribosomal RNA", at positions 917 to 1271 of the family's 1533-position model. The record is from RNAcentral.
GGGCCCGCACAAGCGGUGGAGCAUGUGGUUUAAUUCGAUGAUACGCGAGGAACCUUACCAGGGCUUAAAUGUAGUGGGACAGGUCUAGAGAUAGACCCUUCUUCGGACUCAUUACAAGGUGCUGCAUGGUUGUCGUCAGCUCGUGCCGUGAGGUGUCAGGUUAAGUCCUAUAACGAGCGCAACCCCUAUCGUUUAGUUGCCAGCGAGUAAUGUCGGGAACUCUAACGAAACUGCCAGUGCAAACUGUGAGGAAGGGUGGGAUGAACGUCAAUCAUCACCGGCCCUUACGUCCUGGCUACACACGUGCUACAAUGGCCGGUACAGAGAGCAGCCACUUCGCAAGAAGGAGCGAA